GUCUGCGUAUAUAUAUACCAGUCUGGCUACAAGUCUACCAGAAUAUUAUUUGCAUCAUUGACUAAGUCUGUCUAGAUAUGUCGUCUGGUGGAUUUGCUUAUCUCUUAAAUUCUGAAGAUGAUGAUAUUCCUCGUAGUAAAAUCGUUAUUACAAUGUACCAGUACUUUAGUCUAUCAGUUUCCAUCUCCAUGCAAGACUCGGGGUCUGAUGAAGGUUCUA
Molecule: long non-coding RNA, 219 nt
Filed under: Mytilus galloprovincialis (Mediterranean mussel)
Lineage: Eukaryota; Metazoa; Mollusca; Bivalvia; Mytilida; Mytilidae
Source: RNAcentral